GACGGAGGGGGCAAGCGUUGGCCGGAAUCACUGGGCGUAAAGCGCGUGUAGGCGGGCGCGUGCGUCGGUGCUGAAAGCGCCCGGCUUAACCGGGCGAGGCGUGCCGAUACGAUGCGACUGGAGGCAGGCAGAGGGCGGCGGAAUUCCGGGUGUGGCGGUGAAAUGCGUAGAGGUCCGGAGGAACGCCGGUGGGGGAGCCGGCCGCCUGGGCCUGACCUGACGCUGAGACGCGACAGCGUGGGGAGCAAACCGG
RNAcentral lists this ribosomal RNA (253 nucleotides) under uncultured bacterium. RNAcentral's name for it is "partial 16S ribosomal RNA". It matches the Rfam family "Bacterial small subunit ribosomal RNA", at positions 524 to 776 of the family's 1533-position model. The record is from RNAcentral.